AUCUAAAUAGCUUAUAAAGAGCAUGGCAUUGAAGAUGCUAAGGAGAUUUUAUUAAUUUUUAGAUA
Molecule: transfer RNA, 65 nt
Filed under: Romualdius bifoveolatus
Lineage: Eukaryota; Metazoa; Arthropoda; Insecta; Coleoptera; Curculionidae
Description: tRNA-Phe
Source: RNAcentral